UUGAGACACACAAGGUAUCAUUUGUAAACUAAUCAUGUAUUUUUUCAUUACCGUUUCCUACAGCACACAACUGAAGCAACAAAUGUCGAUUGGCAAUUCCUCUGAAUCCCUUUGCAAUUUCAACAUCUCUGAAUAUGCCUGUUCCUCAGUAAGCUUUUUCAAUUCAUCACUGAAUGUUGUCAGUAGCAACAGAUACAUUUCUCUCAUCCUCAUCUUCUUUAUUGAUGUUACUCAUGUUGAUGUCACAGUUGUCUAAUUUGGUUCACGUCCCUGCAUUCUUUUCUUUAAGACAACCCUUCUGUCAGCGGACAACUUGGUGACGAUCCUGAAAUGCCAAUUGUCGAGCAAAAAGACUUACUCAACAGAAAUGUGGAAGCUGUUCUUCCAAAACAACGCUGCUGUUCUGGACCAGGCUCUUCUGGAUUACUCCAGCAUGGUAUGUUGAAUCCCAGAAUUACAACAAAAUGUUGGCAAUAUGUGUGGAUUUUGUCAAUAUACAUCUGUUUAUACCUUUCCAGAACCCCAACAUCAGCAGUCCAGCUAUGCCACAUGUCCUUGAUGCCAUUGGAGAUGUCAAAAUCAACAACUUCAUUAAUGCACAGCUGAACGACGCCAGUUUCGUGGCCAAGUUGUUCCAGAAGAUGCUCCGUCCAUUCUUGGCAUCUACAUCUAGGAAUUUCCUCUCCUGUCUCAGCUCAAAGAACUUCAGUUGUCAGACCUACCAAAUUGUCAUUGAUGCUCUAAGCAACCAAUCAGCCUCCAUGGACAGAGAGCAACAACAAUUGAUCUUCACUCAUUACAUCUAUCCAUUCCUUUCAAGAAAUGACUCAUCAGGUAAUAAAUGGUUCUGGAAAGCACAAAAACAUCCACACUUCUCUGGGCCAAUCCAUUGCACUCAUCUGCUUAGGGGAACUUAAAGUCCAUUUGUUUAACUCUGCUUUUGUUUCAGAUCCCGGCUGUGUCUCAAACACCAGUGGAAGCAUGGACUGGCUCCAGAGGAACUUUGGCAUCUUUUCUGUUUUUGCAGAACUGCAGGAGUUACAACUCCUCAAUCCUGACUUCUCCAGCGUAAGUGGCCUAGGUGUUUGUCUGGAUGGUUAUCCCCUCAAUAACAUUACCGUGCCAAUCACUGACAUGCGCCACUUUUCUUUUUUCUUUUUCUAUUUGUAGAAGGAAUCACUGUCGCUGCUUACCCCAACCCAAUUGGCACAGUUGACAUUGACCUCUGGGCCAUUGAAUGACACAGAUGACAUUAAACGUGUGUUUAAGCGGCUGGAGGAAGGAGACGCUUUCAAAAAUGUUGACGAGUUUCUGACGCAACUGACCGCAAAGGAAGAGGUAAUGCACAUUUCAGAUAAACAAACUGCAUGAUUUCAUCUUGACAAAUAGCAAUCCCCAUGUCUUCCUGUGUCUCCCUUGGUGGAUAGUGAAAGACAACAAUUGAGCAACGAGAAACCUAUCAAUCUUGUACUUUCAUUUAUUACCGGCAAAGCUCGAUGGAAUGCCGUGAUGAGUUGUGCAGUGUUGAGGAACUCUGGUCAUGUGUUUCAACAGAUUCCUGACAUCCAUCCAGCCGUGAGAGAUGUGAUGAUGAAUCAGACAUUCAACAUCAUCAGCCUUCAAUUCCCAGAGUUCGAAACGAUGGACUGGAUUGCAUGGUUUGAAGUAAAGCUGAUUCCCAUCCUCCCCAGUUUUAAUGAAGUCAUGCUCACCAUUGCUACCUCAAAUGUCAACUGCACCAACUACCAAGUCAUGUGAGUAGGGGCUAUCUUCCUGCUAAAAUUAGCCAUGGAUUCGAUGACUAAAAUCUAUUGCAAAUGUGGGAUGGAAGCGUCAUGAGUGUAUCUUUUCCCAUUUACAGUGUAAAUGGAAUGGACAGCGCUUUCCCUGAAAUGACUCAGGAUAGAAGAGAAGGAAUCGCAAGAGUCCUGCUGAAAUACCUGAGGAAAUCUGUACACCUCAUCAACGAACCAGGUAGGGCUCACCAAGCAGGUUGUUGUGCUCAUUGGCUUUCUGUUUGGUUGUUCGUCGCCUCUGCUGGAUG
Long non-coding RNA from Salmo trutta (river trout), 2044 nucleotides. NCBI's taxonomy places the organism in Eukaryota, Metazoa, Chordata, Actinopteri, Salmoniformes, Salmonidae. The record is from Ensembl.